RNAcentral lists this long non-coding RNA (1365 nucleotides) under Helianthus annuus (common sunflower). Its description in RNAcentral is "hypothetical non coding rna". Lineage: Eukaryota; Viridiplantae; Streptophyta; Magnoliopsida; Asterales; Asteraceae. The record is from RNAcentral.
UGUAAGCAUUAUUGUAGUCACACUUUUUUUCAUGUGUCAAACUUGAACGCAAUGUUGUAAUGUAAGACGACACGUUGUAAAUGGGUUAUAUCAAGGUUGGACACACUAUAUGGCACACAUUGCACAAAUUUCUAAUAUAUAAGGGCAUUAGUGUCAAAGUCCAUGUAUAUGGUUUUAACUUUUAAAUUAAGAUGGUUAACUUAACAAGAUAACACCAAAGGGAUUUUGUCCUAGCGGCAUCAAGGCGUUAGAUUAGGUCUUGUCUUUCCAAGUGGUGAGCGUUCAAUAUCUAUAGUAGACAAAAAAAAAUGUGUCGAUAGUAGAAUUAGAGAGUGUGUGAGUUGCCGUUCUAAAAACAAUUAACAAUAUAUUUAGUUAGAUUGUCUCAUUUCGAUCUCUCUCCUGCACAUGCAACCAAAACUUCAUCUUUCUCUAAAUUUUACCUCCACCAUUGUAAAGGGCGCUAGGACUUUUCCUCUUUUCAAACAAUGAUUGUAGACAUAGGGGCUUGGCUACAUUUUUUGAAGAACGGCGAUUGGAUUGUUACCGAGGGCGAACAUCAAUACAAGCAUGCAGCUUGCUGGAGGAUUCUUGACACUGUGUUUUAACAGCAAGCAGAUUGCUGGAGGAAUCUUGACACUGUGUUUUAACAGCAAGCAGAUUUCUUGAUGCUGUGUUUUAACAGCAAGCAGAUUGCUGGAGGAUUCUUGACACUGUGUUUUAACAGCAAGCAGAUUGCUGGAGGAUUCUUGACACUGUGUUUUAACAGCAAGCAGAUUUCUUGACAUUGUGUUUUAACAACAAGCAGAUUUCCUUGACACUGUGUUUUAACAGCAAGCAGAUUUCUUGACGCUGUGUUUUAACAGCAAGCAGAUUGCUGGAGGAUUCUUGACACUGUGUUUUAACAACAAGCAUAAUAAGAACCCGAUUCAAUGAUAGAUAAAAAAAAUUGAAACAAGUAUGAAAAACAACAACCGAUAGGGAAACAUCACCGGCCGACCAACGAUUCCGACUACUGUUUGAACGACAACCGUCAGCAACAUCAACAACACUGAUCAACUGUCAAACAGAAGGUGUGCCUAAUGAUGUCAUGAUCGGCUUAUACCUCGAAGGAACUGAUAUAUGACCAAUCGGAGAAGAAUAUUUGCAGGAAAUAUGGCUGGUUCUUCUUUGGUUGCUGUUCGGGAGAGAGAGAGAGAGAGAGAGAGAGAGAGAAAGAGGGGAAAUCCCAUGAUUUUAGGGAUUGGUUAUUGAUAUGGCAGUUUCUUGAAUGAUUUAAAACACUUCCAAUUACCAAAAUACCCUCACUAUAUUAAAAGUCUCUAAUUAUAUAACUCAGAUAUAUUAUGAAAAUGCCAUCCAUUU